CCAUGUUGGUUCCAGCACUUUUUACAAUAGCUAAGAUUUGGAAGCAACCUAACUGUCCAUCAGCAGAUAAAUGGAUAAAGAAAAUGUGGUACAUAUACACAAUGGAGUAGUAUUCAGCCAGAAAAAAAGAAUGAGAUCUGUCAUUUGCAACAACGUGGAUGGAACUGGAGGUCAUUAUGUUAAGUGAAAUAAGCCAGGCACAGAAAGACAAGCUUUGCAUGUUCUCACUUAUUUGUAGGAGCUAAAAAUUAAAACAAUUGAACUCAUGGAGAUGUAGUAGAAUGAUGGUUACCAGAGGCUGGGACAGGUAGUGAGGGUCUGUGCAGUGGGGAGAAGAUGGGAUGGUCAAUGGGUACCAAAAAGUUAAAGAGAAUGAAUAAGAACUAGUAUUUGCUAGCAUAACACAGCGACUAUAGUCAAUGAUCAUUUAAUUGCACAUAUAAAAAUAACUAAAAGAGUAUAAUUGGAUUGUUUGUAACACAAAGGAGAAAUGCUUGAGGGGGUGGAUACUCCAUUUUCCCUCAGGUGAUUAUUACACAUUGUAUGCCUAUAUCAAAAUA
RNAcentral lists this long non-coding RNA (560 nucleotides) under Homo sapiens (human). Its description in RNAcentral is "non-protein coding lnc-RUBCN-7:1". Lineage: Eukaryota; Metazoa; Chordata; Mammalia; Primates; Hominidae. The record is from RNAcentral.